GCGAGUCGAGAGGGUUCGGCCCUCGGCUGACGGCUCAGUAACACGUGGAUAAUCUGCCCUUAGGUGGAGGAUAAUCUCGGGAAACUGAGGAUAAUACUCCAUAGAUCUAGGAUGCUGGAAUGCAUCUAGAUUUAAAGCUCCGGCGCCUAAGGAUGAGUCUGCGGACUAUCAGGUUGUAGUCAGGGUAAAGACCUGACUAGCCUACGACGGAUACGGGUUGUGAGAGCAAUAACCCGGAGACGAUAUCUGAGACACGAUAUCGGGCCCUACGGGGCGCAGCAGGCGCGAAAACUUCACACUGUGCGGAAGCGCGAUGAGGGAAUCCCAAGUGUUUGCUCGUAAGAGUAAACUGUUUCUUUGUUUAAAACGCAGAGAGAGUAAGGGCUGGGCAAGACGGGUGCCAGCCGCCGCGGUAAUACCUGCAGCUCAAGUGGUGAUCAUUAUUAUUGGGCCUAAAACGUCCGUAGCCGGUUUAGUAAAUGCCUGGGUAAAUCGUGUAGCUUAACUAUACGACUUCCGGGUAGACUGCUAAACUUGAGACCGGGAGAGGCUAGAGGUACUCCUGGGGUAGAGGUAAAAUUCUGUAAUCCUAGGGGGACCACCAGUGGCGAAGGCGUCUAGCUAGAACGGGUCUGACGGUGAGGGACGAAGUCCUGGGGCACAAACCGGAUUAGAUACCCGGGUAGUCCAGGGUGUAAACGCUGCUUGCUUGAUGUUAGUUGGGCUCCGAGCCCAAC
RNAcentral lists this ribosomal RNA (737 nucleotides) under uncultured archaeon. RNAcentral's name for it is "bacterial SSU rRNA". It matches the Rfam family "Archaeal small subunit ribosomal RNA", at positions 53 to 795 of the family's 1478-position model. The record is from RNAcentral.